Molecule: long non-coding RNA, 476 nt
Organism: Octopus sinensis (East Asian common octopus)
Lineage: Eukaryota; Metazoa; Mollusca; Cephalopoda; Octopoda; Octopodidae
Exons: 4
Source: RefSeq, a predicted model, not a curated record
AGGUCAAACUGGUAAAGUGUUUGCAGCACAAGUGGGUGAAUUCAUGAAAGCAGAAACUAAAGUUGUUAAUGAGCUGAUCCGUUCGAGCAGACUAAAAGUGGUGGUUUACAGUGGACAACUGGACCUUAUUGUGGCAACCUUAGGUACUGAAAAAUGGGUGGAUGAUAUGGACAUUGCCAUGGUCUUUAAAAACACCAAAAGAAGAAUUCUUGUUGAUCCAAUCACAUAAACUGUUAUGGUAUAUAAAAGAAGCCUAAAAAAUUUCUCAUUCUACUGAAUAUUAAAUGCAGGUCACAUGAUUCCAUCAGAUAAUCCAACUGGUGCAUUGCAAAUUAAUUUUAGCUUGAGCUUAACAGAAAUGUCAAGCCUAACAAGCCAUCAAGACGGUCACUUCCAGGACCUGAGUAUUUCGGAAGCAUCUCAAACCUACUUUAUUCUCCAGUGAAAAUUGCCACAAAUAAAUGCGUCAAAGAUUU